Molecule: transfer RNA, 73 nt
Filed under: Limosilactobacillus reuteri
Lineage: Bacteria; Bacillati; Bacillota; Bacilli; Lactobacillales; Lactobacillaceae
Description: Lactobacillus reuteri tRNA-Gln
Rfam family: tRNA
About the family: Transfer RNA (tRNA) molecules are approximately 80 nucleotides in length.
Source: RNAcentral
UGCGGUAUAGCCAAGUUGGUAAGGCAACGGUUUUUGGUGCCGUCAUGCGCAGGUUCGAGUCCUGUUACCGCAA